AUUGAACGCUGGCGGCAUGCUUUACACAUGCGAGUCGAACGGCAGCGCGGGCUUCGGCCUGGCGGCGAGUGGCGAACGGGUGAGUAAUGCAUCGGAACGUUCCCAGUAGUGGGGGAUAGCCCGGCGAAAGCCGGAUUAAUACCGCAUACGACCUGAGGGUGAAAGCGGGGGACCGAAAGGCCUCGCGCUAUUGGAGCGGCCGAUGUCGGAUUAGCUAGUUGGUGGGGUAAAGGCUUACCAAGGCGACGAUCCGUAGCUGGUCUGAGAGGACGACCAGCCACACUGGGACUGAGACACGGCCCAGACUCCUACGGGAGGCAGCAGUGGGGAAUUUUGGACAAUGGGGGCAACCCUGAUCCAGCCAUGCCGCGUGCGGGAAGAAGGCCUUCGGGUUGUAAACCGCUUUUGUUCGGGAAGAAAUCCUCUGGGCUAAUACCCCGGGGGGAUGACGGUACCGGAAGAAUAAGCACCGGCUAACUACGUG
Molecule: ribosomal RNA, 484 nt
Filed under: uncultured bacterium
Lineage: Bacteria
Description: partial 16S ribosomal RNA
Rfam family: Bacterial small subunit ribosomal RNA
Source: RNAcentral